RNAcentral lists this ribosomal RNA (2901 nucleotides) under Escherichia coli 2-210-07_S4_C1. Its description in RNAcentral is "bacterial LSU rRNA". It matches the Rfam family "Bacterial large subunit ribosomal RNA". The record is from RNAcentral. Lineage: Bacteria; Pseudomonadati; Pseudomonadota; Gammaproteobacteria; Enterobacterales; Enterobacteriaceae.
UUAAGCGACUAAGCGUACACGGUGGAUGCCCUGGCAGUCAGAGGCGAUGAAGGACGUGCUAAUCUGCGAUAAGCGUCGGUAAGGUGAUAUGAACCGUUAUAACCGGCGAUUUCCGAAUGGGGAAACCCAGUGUGAUUCGUCACACUAUCAUUAACUGAAUCCAUAGGUUAAUGAGGCGAACCGGGGGAACUGAAACAUCUAAGUACCCCGAGGAAAAGAAAUCAACCGAGAUUCCCCCAGUAGCGGCGAGCGAACGGGGAGCAGCCCAGAGCCUGAAUCAGUGUGUGUGUUAGUGGAAGCGUCUGGAAAGGCGCGCGAUACAGGGUGACAGCCCCGUACACAAAAAUGCACAUAUUGUGAGCUCGAUGAGUAGGGCGGGACACGUGGUAUCCUGUCUGAAUAUGGGGGGACCAUCCUCCAAGGCUAAAUACUCCUGACUGACCGAUAGUGAACCAGUACCGUGAGGGAAAGGCGAAAAGAACCCCGGCGAGGGGAGUGAAAAAGAACCUGAAACCGUGUACGUACAAGCAGUGGGAGCCUCUUUAUGGGGUGACUGCGUACCUUUUGUAUAAUGGGUCAGCGACUUAUAUUCUGUAGCAAGGUUAACCGAAUAGGGGAGCCGAAGGGAAACCGAGUCUUAACUGGGCGUUAAGUUGCAGGGUAUAGACCCGAAACCCGGUGAUCUAGCCAUGGGCAGGUUGAAGGUUGGGUAACACUAACUGGAGGACCGAACCGACUAAUGUUGAAAAAUUAGCGGAUGACUUGUGGCUGGGGGUGAAAGGCCAAUCAAACCGGGAGAUAGCUGGUUCUCCCCGAAAGCUAUUUAGGUAGCGCCUCGUGAACUCAUCUCCGGGGGUAGAGCACUGUUUCGGCAAGGGGGUCAUCCCGACUUACCAACCCGAUGCAAACUGCGAAUACCGGAGAAUGUUAUCACGGGAGACACACGGCGGGUGCUAACGUCCGUCGUGAAGAGGGAAACAACCCAGACCGCCAGCUAAGGUCCCAAAGUCAUGGUUAAGUGGGAAACGAUGUGGGAAGGCCCAGACAGCCAGGAUGUUGGCUUAGAAGCAGCCAUCAUUUAAAGAAAGCGUAAUAGCUCACUGGUCGAGUCGGCCUGCGCGGAAGAUGUAACGGGGCUAAACCAUGCACCGAAGCUGCGGCAGCGACGCUGAUGCGUUGUUGGGUAGGGGAGCGUUCUGUAAGCCUGUGAAGGUGUGCUGUGAGGCAUGCUGGAGGUAUCAGAAGUGCGAAUGCUGACAUAAGUAACGAUAAAGCGGGUGAAAAGCCCGCUCGCCGGAAGACCAAGGGUUCCUGUCCAACGUUAAUCGGGGCAGGGUGAGUCGACCCCUAAGGCGAGGCCGAAAGGCGUAGUCGAUGGGAAACAGGUUAAUAUUCCUGUACUUGGUGUUACUGCGAAGGGGGGACGGAGAAGGCUAUGUUGGCCGGGCGACGGUUGUCCCGGUUUAAGCGUGUAGGCUGGUUUUCCAGGCAAAUCCGGAAAAUCAAGGCUGAGGCGUGAUGACGAGGCACUACGGUGCUGAAGCAACAAAUGCCCUGCUUCCAGGAAAAGCCUCUAAGCAUCAGGUAACAUCAAAUCGUACCCCAAACCGACACAGGUGGUCAGGUAGAGAAUACCAAGGCGCUUGAGAGAACUCGGGUGAAGGAACUAGGCAAAAUGGUGCCGUAACUUCGGGAGAAGGCACGCUGAUAUGUAGGUGAAGUCCCUCGCGGAUGGAGCUGAAAUCAGUCGAAGAUACCAGCUGGCUGCAACUGUUUAUUAAAAACACAGCACUGUGCAAACACGAAAGUGGACGUAUACGGUGUGACGCCUGCCCGGUGCCGGAAGGUUAAUUGAUGGGGUCAGCGCAAGCGAAGCUCUUGAUCGAAGCCCCGGUAAACGGCGGCCGUAACUAUAACGGUCCUAAGGUAGCGAAAUUCCUUGUCGGGUAAGUUCCGACCUGCACGAAUGGCGUAAUGAUGGCCAGGCUGUCUCCACCCGAGACUCAGUGAAAUUGAACUCGCUGUGAAGAUGCAGUGUACCCGCGGCAAGACGGAAAGACCCCGUGAACCUUUACUAUAGCUUGACACUGAACAUUGAGCCUUGAUGUGUAGGAUAGGUGGGAGGCUUAGAAGUGUGGACGCCAGUCUGCAUGGAGCCGACCUUGAAAUACCACCCUUUAAUGUUUGAUGUUCUAACGUUGACCCGUAAUCCGGGUUGCGGACAGUGUCUGGUGGGUAGUUUGACUGGGGCGGUCUCCUCCUAAAGAGUAACGGAGGAGCACGAAGGUUGGCUAAUCCUGGUCGGACAUCAGGAGGUUAGUGCAAUGGCAUAAGCCAGCUUGACUGCGAGCGUGACGGCGCGAGCAGGUGCGAAAGCAGGUCAUAGUGAUCCGGUGGUUCUGAAUGGAAGGGCCAUCGCUCAACGGAUAAAAGGUACUCCGGGGAUAACAGGCUGAUACCGCCCAAGAGUUCAUAUCGACGGCGGUGUUUGGCACCUCGAUGUCGGCUCAUCACAUCCUGGGGCUGAAGUAGGUCCCAAGGGUAUGGCUGUUCGCCAUUUAAAGUGGUACGCGAGCUGGGUUUAGAACGUCGUGAGACAGUUCGGUCCCUAUCUGCCGUGGGCGCUGGAGAACUGAGGGGGGCUGCUCCUAGUACGAGAGGACCGGAGUGGACGCAUCACUGGUGUUCGGGUUGUCAUGCCAAUGGCACUGCCCGGUAGCUAAAUGCGGAAGAGAUAAGUGCUGAAAGCAUCUAAGCACGAAACUUGCCCCGAGAUGAGUUCUCCCUGACUCCUUGAGAGUCCUGAAGGAACGUUGAAGACGACGACGUUGAUAGGCCGGGUGUGUAAGCGCAGCGAUGCGUUGAGCUAACCGGUACUAAUGAACCGUGAGGCUUAACCUU